UGGGGAAUAUUGCACAAUGGGCGAAAGCCUGAUGCAGCGACGCCGCGUGAGGGAUGACGGCCUUCGGGUUGUAAACCUCUUUCAGCAGGGAAGAAGCGAAAGUGACGGUACCUGCAGAAGAAGCGCCGGCUAACUACGUGCCAGCAGCCGCGGUAAUACGUAGGGCGCAAGCGUUGUCCGGAAUUAUUGGGCGUAAAGAGCUCGUAGGCGGUUAGUCGCGUCUGCUGUGAAAACUCGAGGCUCAACCUCGGGCUUGCAGUGGGUACGGGCUGACUAGAGUGCGGUAGGGGUGACUGGAAUUCCUGGUGUAGCGGUGGAAUGCGCAGAUAUCAGGAGGAACACCGAUGGCGAAGGCAGGUCACUGGGCCGCAACUGACGCUGAGGAGCGAAAGCAUGGGGAGCGAACAGGAUUAGAUAGCCCCUGGUAGUCCAUGCCGUAAACGUUGGGCACUAGGUGUGGGGUCCAUUUCCACGGAUUCCGUGCCGCAGCAAACGCAUUAAGUGCCCCGCCUGGGGAGUACGGCCGCAAGGCUAAAACUCAAAGGAAUUGA
Molecule: ribosomal RNA, 551 nt
Filed under: uncultured bacterium
Lineage: Bacteria
Description: partial 16S ribosomal RNA
Rfam family: Bacterial small subunit ribosomal RNA
Source: RNAcentral